Cyprinodon tularosa is the source of this 423-nucleotide long non-coding RNA. RefSeq lists it as uncharacterized. The transcript has 3 exons. Lineage: Eukaryota; Metazoa; Chordata; Actinopteri; Cyprinodontiformes; Cyprinodontidae. The record is from RefSeq and is a predicted model, not a curated record.
UGUGAAUCUUUUGUUGAUUCAGAUCAAGGAGGAAUUCCGGAGAACAACAACCAUUCCAGUGGAUCAAACCAGGCAAAAACUUGACAAAUACACACGAAAGCUGAUGAAAGCCAGGGGAGGAGUUUUGGGGCCCAAGACGAGUUUGCUCCUGGACCGACUGAGUCAGAAACAGAGCAUUGAGGUGAGAAGAGAAGCCAUUAUCUCCAGCCUUAUACUGUACCAUGGGAAGAAGGAAUAUGACUUUUUGAGGACUGCUUGUUUACGAUGGCUAAAGCGAUGGCAGUGGUCAGAGGCCACUCUUCAAUAAACAACUGAAAAGAGAAAGAAGUUUGGUUAUUGGAGCGUCGUUGUCUGGCUGUCUAGCCGGCUGAAAAAUUGGGAAAACUCAGGGCAAGGACAGCACAGUGAUGUUAGUAACUCUGU